GAUGGACGCUAGCUACAGGCUUAACACAUGCAAGUCGAGGGGAAACGAUAGAGAAAGCUUGCUUUUUCUAGGCGUCGACCGGCGCACGGGUGAGUAACGCGUAUCCAACCUGCCCAUCACUUGGGGAUAACCUUGCGAAAGUAAGACUAAUACCCAAUGACGUCCAUAGAAGACAUCUGAGAGGGAUUAAAGAUUUAUCGGUGAUGGAUGGGGAUGCGUCUGAUUAGCUUGUUGGCGGGGUAACGGCCCACCAAGGCGACGAUCAGUAGGGGUUCUGAGAGGAAGGUCCCCCACAUUGGAACUGUGACACGGUCCAAACUCCUACGGGAGGCAGCAGUGAGGAAUAUUGGUCAAUGGGCGAGAGCCUGAACCAGCCAAGUAGCGUGCAGGAUGACGGCCCUAUGGGUUGUAAACUGCUUUUAUAAGGGAAUAAAGUGAGCCUCGUGAGGCUUUUUGCAUGUACCUUAUGAAUAAGGACCGGCUAAUUCCGUGCCAGCCGCCGCCGUAA
RNAcentral lists this ribosomal RNA (508 nucleotides) under uncultured bacterium. Its description in RNAcentral is "partial 16S ribosomal RNA". It matches the Rfam family "Bacterial small subunit ribosomal RNA", at positions 28 to 523 of the family's 1533-position model. The record is from RNAcentral.